This is a non-coding RNA of Pelobates cultripes (western spadefoot toad), 209 nucleotides long. NCBI's taxonomy places the organism in Eukaryota, Metazoa, Chordata, Amphibia, Anura, Pelobatidae. The record is from the annotation of a GenBank genome assembly.
CACCCAUCAUCCAGUACUCACACACCCAUCAUCCAGCACUCACACACACACACCCAUCAUCCAGCACUCACACACACAUCAUUCAGCACUCACACACCCAUCAUCCAGCACUCACACACCCAUCAUCCAGCACACACACACAUCAUCCAGCACUCACACACCCAUCAUCCAUCACUCACUCAAACACACAUCAUCCAGCACUCACACAC